GGGGGUAUAGCUCAGUGGUGGAGCUCAUGCUUAGCAUGUAUGAGGUCCUGGGUUCAAUCCUCAGUACCUCCA
RNAcentral lists this transfer RNA (72 nucleotides) under Camelus bactrianus (Bactrian camel). It matches the Rfam family "tRNA". Rfam says of the family: Transfer RNA (tRNA) molecules are approximately 80 nucleotides in length. Their secondary structure includes four short double-helical elements and three loops (D, anti-codon, and T loops). RNAcentral also lists the same sequence under 2 other names. Lineage: Eukaryota; Metazoa; Chordata; Mammalia; Artiodactyla; Camelidae. The record is from Rfam by way of RNAcentral.